Molecule: long non-coding RNA, 2960 nt
Organism: Hemicordylus capensis (graceful crag lizard)
Lineage: Eukaryota; Metazoa; Chordata; Lepidosauria; Squamata; Cordylidae
Exons: 4
Source: RefSeq, a predicted model, not a curated record
UCCAGAAACAACUGAGGUGUCCUACGAAUACUUUUUGUGGCCUUCAAAUAGAAGAGAAGGGCUCGUUGAAUGUCUAGCGAAUGCAUUGUCCGUUCGAGAGCAGAGGAAGGCUCCCUGAAAAUGGGGCAGACCUAAAACUUGAGCCAUUUCCGCCACUUGCUGAUGAUAGCCCUUCAUCUCCUCAUUGGGCGAAGUAGAAGGAAAAACGGCCACAUCCGAAUCUGGAUCCGGGAGAACAGGAGUCUCAAGGUCUUCUGAAUCAGCUACAGUCAAGGCUGAGGUGCAGUCAUCCUCUAUAUCAUCAUCAUCAUCAUCAUCAUCAUCAUCAUCAUCAUCAUCUCCAUCUGAUGACACCGGUGUAGACCCAGGACUCGUGCCAUUUCCGCCACCUGCUGAUGGUAACUUUUCAUCUCCUCAUUGGGCUAAAUUGAUGGAAUUGCAGCAACAUCCGAAUCCGGAUCCGGGAGAGCAGGUGCCUCUGGGUCUUCCAGAUCUGCCUCCGUCGAGUCUGAGGUAUAGUCAUCCUCUAUAUCAUCGUCGUCGUCAUCACCCUUGGAUAAAACAGGUGGUGGCUCCUGCGUCGAAGGUUUAUCCUUGUGCUUUCUCUUCUGGCUUGAAUGGCGAUCCUCCAGCCGCUUAAAUGGGGCUAAGGUGCCCGAUGUCGAAGUGGUCGAUGCCGUAGCCUUUGAAGCCGAUGCAGAUGUCAAAGCGGUCGACGCCGUAGCCUUCGUAGCCAGUGCAGAUGUCGAAGCAAUUGACGCCGCAGCUUUCGCAGCCAAUUUUGAGGAGCCCGCCUCCACCUGGACUUUAGACUGCACUUUCGAAGCAGGACCCAGCAAUGCCCCCUCAGUAGCCAUCUUAGGUGCUAGAGACUCCUCGAGCAAAUACACUCUAAGGCGUGCUGCACGAUUUUUCAAAGUCUGCUUGUUAAAGGUAACGCAGACUGAGCAGGCUUUUGUGUCGAGCUUCUCUCCCAAACAAAACGAACAGAGGGCAUGGCCGUCUGUUGAGGGGAUCUUUCCGCAGCAGUUGGUACACCGCUUAAAGGUUGUUUUGUCCUUGACAGACUUCCCUGAACCAUCUGCCUUACCAGGUUUUUUGCUCAUUUUAGAGAAGAGUAGUCGUCUGUUCUGUCGUCAGAGGGGGAUAUCAGAGAUUGAAACCAAAUCCGAAGGAGUGUCCGUAUCCAAAGCCGAGUCCGUAUUCAGAAGUUUCAAGCUGUUUAAGUCUCAAACAAUGCCAAGUCUGAAGGAGUAUCCAAAGAAUAGUCAGAGUCCGUUUCCAAUGUUCAGAGAUCCAAAAAUACGGGGGAAAAGGAGCAAACUGUCUCCGAGUACUGAUCGCAAUGGCGGUCAGAAAGAAACUGAUUGCAGAGAUGCCCAACCGCCACUAGAGGCUUCUACAGUCACGUGCAACAGGCGGUUGCCGGUGUCAAGAGGAGCUAACAAAUUCUACCCGAAGCUGAUCUGCGCAGGCGAGGAACCCACUAUUUAUGGAUGAUGGAACCACUAUCCAGAUUAGAUAAGUACUACUAAAGUCAGUGACUUGUGUGCUAUAGGAGCAAUUUGAGGAGCUGAGGGUUUGCCUAGCAAAUUCCAUAAUAAAACAACAGGAGAUACAUUGGAAUAUAAUAUCCAUGAUGUUCAAUGUCGAUACAUUUACAAACAGAAUAAAAUAAACAAGAUGACUUGAACCUCUUAAGACAGGAAGGUUAACAUGACCUGAUAGUUAACUAAGACUUGGAGGGAUGAAACCCAGAACUGGAUUGUCUUAAAAAUAUAUAUAAAUGCAACGGAAAGAAGGAAGAAUAGCAUUAUAUAUCAAAUGGAGAAAUAAAUAAAAUGGGGCCAGAGUCUACUAAAAUUGCCAUACUAAGGAGAUGAUAUGGAUGAUGUUUUCCUGAAAUAUAUUCCAGACGUUUCAAGGAAACAAGAAUUAGUACUAACAGGGGACUUUACCCUGAUAUGUGUUGAGAGACAAAUCUUGCUAAUCACAAAAUCUCUGCAGAUUCUCUACAUGCCUUGAUGAGACACCUUUUUUAUGGUUGUUACAUGGUGCUAUGCUAUGGCAUUACUAAAAUAAAUUUGAUAUAUAUUAUACCUGAAAUUCAUCAAAUAAGUUACAAAAGGAGACUGCAGGAACAGUUGAUACCCGGAAAUGGAAAAGCUCAGAUCCCUGUUGAAAAGGAAAUAACUAAUCAUCUAUAGUAACAUUACUGUCAUUCAAGAAAUACAAUUUACAUCCUUGGAAAUUAAUAGGAUCUAGUAGCUUUUUCCUGUAUGAACUGAAUGGAAACUUAGGAAUGGAAAGGUAAUUGUUUAAAAGGCAAUUUGGAGUUUGGCAUAAUACAGCCUAGAUGCUGCAGCAGCAGCAGCAGCAUAAUGCACUUAAUAUUUUAAAACUCCUGGAUCUGAUAACUUAUCUGAAGGGAAUCCAUUAUGUCAUGGAUGUCAAAAAAGGAAAUAUCACCUCAGUGAUGCUAGCCCUCAGCAGAAUGACUCUCCUUGCUGUUUUCCUCAAUCUGAAGUUACAAUUUACAUGAGGUUUGGGGGUGGGGGAAAUGGCAUAACUGAACGCUCAUUCAUAUAAAAAUUUCCUGCACACAGAAAAUUAAAUGUCAAGGAGAGAAGAUCUAGCCUCAUCUGGGAUGCUAGUUUUCCUAAACACUUGAUUUUUGUUUAACCCCAACGUAUCUUAUACAUGUGUAACCACGGAACGGCCAUGUCAAAUAUGAGAUAAUGGAUUGUAUAUAUCUGAACUGAAUAAUACUUUUUAAAAAUGUAUACAGAAUAUUAGUUCAGAGGAGUUUUGGUACUCAUGUUUUGGUGUUGUCUAAAAUAUGUAUUUUAUAUGAAACUUACAUGUAUACUUAUAGUGAGACCAUCUGGAUUAUACAACGUUGUGUUGAGUUUAUGUGCUAAAUAUUCUCUCAUUUUUAUCACACUUGAUGUUACAUCGGA